CAAAACAACCAACUAAAUCCUAUUUGCUAAUUGUGUUUCUUUGAUAAAUGUGAUGACAGCACUAGUGAUGUUUCCUGAUCUAGGCUCACCUAAUAAGGUGUCUAAAGAGAAGGCUUUCUUGGCUGCGUUCACUUCCCUCUUUAGCUUUUCUCUUUGUCUGGAGAAUCUUAAGCAUUUUAAAAGAACAUGAUCUACAUCCUCUCUCAUUCCACAAAACUCACAUUUUCCAGUUGGAUGUUUAUUUACAACAUCUUGUCUGCUUCCUCAUUACCACCAACUCCUUUAUGAGCAGGUACCCAUACAAACUGGAUUGAUAUUCCCUGUUGACUGAUUGCAAAUAUGAUAUUAUUAAUUUCAUUCAAUAAAUCCUGUCGGCAUGA
Molecule: long non-coding RNA, 380 nt
Organism: Alosa sapidissima (American shad)
Lineage: Eukaryota; Metazoa; Chordata; Actinopteri; Clupeiformes; Clupeidae
Exons: 2
Source: RefSeq, a predicted model, not a curated record